This is a long non-coding RNA of Dermochelys coriacea (leatherback sea turtle), 194 nucleotides long. RefSeq lists it as uncharacterized. NCBI's taxonomy places the organism in Eukaryota, Metazoa, Chordata, Testudines, Dermochelyidae. The record is from RefSeq and is a predicted model, not a curated record. The transcript is spliced from 4 exons.
UUCUCCUCACCUCCCUCGCUGGCUUAUGAUCAAAAUGGCUCAGUGGACUGUGACCCUUGUCUCUAGAGAGAGAAGGGUUAUAUGGAGGGUCACAUGAGCCUCUGAGGCUAGCGAAAUCCGCCAGCAAACGCGGAACCCACAGAGGCAAGGGGAGAGCUUUGUCACAAUCCACCUGUGAUUAUCAUUUGCACCAA